This is a long non-coding RNA of Centrocercus urophasianus (Greater sage-grouse), 3544 nucleotides long. RefSeq lists it as uncharacterized. NCBI's taxonomy places the organism in Eukaryota, Metazoa, Chordata, Aves, Galliformes, Phasianidae. The transcript is spliced from 9 exons. The record is from RefSeq and is a predicted model, not a curated record.
GGCGGGCACAAAGCCGGGACCCCGCGGGUGGGGGAUGCUCUGCGGCUCCGUUACACGGCGCUGCCCGAGCACGACCACCCGUGCCCGAGCUCCUGGGAGGAGAAAGGCGUCCGUCCCCGGUAGAAGGGUGUGAGCGCCUUCUGUGACCCGGAGGACAAGGGCCGAGCUUCGGGCAGGGACGGGGCGCGAGGCGCAGAACGGUCCCACGUUGCUGCUGAGGUUGGAUUUCCCAAGGAAUAAUAAUAAUAAUAAUAAUAAAAAUAAAAGCUUCCCUGCCUCCAACCUGACAAAGUAAACAGGAUUAAUUCGCCAUGUGCAAAAACAUUAAUACCGUCCUCAGCGCGGAAAUCGGAAGGGAAAGCUGUUUUCGCAGCACCCACGAUAUUAACACACGAUCGUAGCAAUGCAAAGCCACUGAUACACACUCACACACCGCCGUGCCGCCGAUUGCUCGAGCAUUAAUGAAGAAUGCCCCGCAUUAACUAUUUGCUCUUCGAGGGAUGGAGCGGUGCAACUCUCCAUGAGCACCAUCCGCCGCUUUGCCAUUUGUUUGCGAGUGGGCUGAGGCAGAGCGGGCGAAGGGAAAAAUGAACUCAGGUUCAUUUUGCUAAAUCCUAUUUGAGACCCGAACGCCUCGCGAAGAAGGGGACAUUCUCCGCUGUCCUUCUCCGAGCCCCGUCACAAUAGAAAUGCUCUGUUUAGAAGUAAGGCUCUAUUGUUUUUAUUCCAAAUAAAUAAGCGCAUCCCUCCUGCCAUUUUACUGCAGAUGUAAAUUUAUUGUAAUGAGAGGGAGUGGAAGGAUUUAUUUUGCUAAAAUAGAGUUGGGGAUAGAGCCGGUGUAAAUCUUGGGGUUUUUUAAACAAGGAGGAAGAGAGGGAAGCUGCUUGCCUGGCAGAAAGCUGCCUUGCAGCCCUCUAAUUCUUUCUAGAUUAAAUCGCAAUAUGAAUAGAGCAUCGAACAAAUACCGAGUUUCGCUCUGAACUCAGUGGAAAGCAGUUACGUCUAACAGAAUUCAAUGAAUUCCUCUUCUCCCUCAAUGUAGUAUGUGUGUGUUUUUCUCUUCCACCACACUGAAGUUCCAUGAAUAGGGAAAGUGGCUCCUAUUGUGUGCCUCUGAACUUCCAAGUCAAUGCAAUUUUUAACCACUGGCUUGUGGUACUUUGAAAAUCACCAGGGGCUGUCAGAGUUGGGUCCUCUGAAAAAUUUACAGUGCUAAAUCAGAGCAUAUGCUGUGAGAGAGGAAAAAAAAUUGCUUAAGAUUGGAGCAAGUACAGUAUCUGGCUGCCCCCUAGUGUAAGUCUCUUAUCUGCCUAAAAUUCAACUUUAAAAGAAAAGGAUCUCUUAAAGGGAAACGACUUUUGGCUCACGUAUGCAUACGAGAAUGAAACUUCUGUACAUUUUAAUCUGAUUAAUUCCUAAGGAUUUAAAAUUAAUUGGCUUGGGCACUCCUAGACCGGACUAUAAGAUUUCUGCAUCAGGGUUCCUACCAGCCCUGUGCCGAAUAGGAACCGUGCCUCGCAUGCGGCUGUCAGAGCAAAACACUUUUGCUGCUUAAACUCAGAUCUGCGCCUUUUGCCGUAAUAAAGCAAGGAUAAAUAAUUGCCAUAAAGCCUCCGCCGCGCCGCCAACCACACCUUCGGAGGAGGGAUGCUCGCAGCUGUGGAUGCCCUCCCCCGGUUCACCCCGGCCCCCAGAUGCCUCCUCACAGUGGAUGAUCUCGAAAGAAGGCAGAAAUAUGUGACCUGCUGAGCGAGGUGGGUACUUUUUGAGACGAACUACCACAAGACAGUGUGCUUAUGGGGACCAAACAUGUGAAGACAGAGUUGAUGGAUCUGGAGCCCUGACUGCUGCCCGGCAAUGGCUCAACAUGGACUGCUCUCAUCCUGGCUGCUCUUCAACAGUACUUUGAACUGCAUGAAGACUUAAGAACCAAGCCAACAGCAAGAGCAUGACCAAGAAUCUGAGAAUCAAGCCCACACCAAGUGCGUGAAAAAGUGUUUACUCCUCUUCCAGACCAUACCUGAAACAUGGCGUGAAGUUUCAUUCUCUUCUUCUGCAGGUAUACCAGUUUAAUGCAAUUAAUCAAGAUAGUAGGGAUUAAACAGUAACUCAGAGCUGAACACGACAAUGUUAUCAAUUCCAUGGUGCAAAAGGGCUGGGAGAAAAUGACUGUGGUGACUAGAAGCACUAUGGGCAAGGACAAGCUGACUGGAGUUUUGGGUGGGUUUCAGAGGUUUGUAUUGAUCUAUUGAAAUUUAAGAGUUGUUGAUUUUUCACGUGGCCAAGCAGUUACCCGCCUUGCCCUUUCCUUUCCCCUCGCAGACCCUCCAGGGUAAUCCCCCCGAGUGGCAGCAACUCUUAAAGCGAUUCCUCUCUCUUCUAACAGGUUCCUGAUGCCAAAGGUCUGACCUUACAAUGAGCAGCACACGGGGUGAGACCGGGCACUGCACUGAGCUUCACACACAGCUAUUUUGGUAACCAGAACAGUGUAGUCAGGAUAGUACAAGCACAAGCACAGUGAAGGAUUUAUCAACAUAUUAACUCUGUCAGUGCUGUGUCCCUGUACAGGUUCCUGUGUCUAUUUCAGAUCAUAAACUCAGGCUUGAAGAAAUCUUUGUCUGCAGGAGAGGCUCAGCCUGGCUUACUGCCACACCACUGCCCUUGUUAAUCCACAUACUUCCAGCCCUGAUGCACUGGGACCACCACUGCCGGCCAAUUUCUAGCAAAAUCUUGUUGCCUAGAUCCUGCCAACAACCAGGGAAUAAGCGCAAGCCAGCAGAGAAAAUGAACGACCAGAAGUACCAGGAUCCUGCCAUCCUAUCCUCUGCUGUCAGGUUGGGGUCACAAUUGCCAUUUGGAGAAGCUUCCAUGGAGAUGUGAACAGAAUAUGAAUACAAUUCUGUGAUUACUUCAAAAUCUUUGGGAAUGAUGGAAAUUCUGUUGAUUCCAGCCUCUGCUUUUCAUUAUGGAAGAUAUUUGUGCAACAGGUUUGCUGAAGAUGGAACACUAAUGAAAUGGGUAAUUUCAUAAACACACUGGGGAGGGUAAGUGUCCAACAGAAAAGAAGUCAAGCAGAAAUUAGUCUGCUUGAAACAAACAAACUAAGGAAUGCCUGCUAAAGAGUCAUGAAUUUCUUUAUAACACUUUUUUUCCCUAAAUCACCUACAGAAACUCUGCAGCUGAAGAUGCUUUGAUAGCAGUUAUGAUCAGAACACCAGUACUUCUCAUACGUGAAAUACAACAUUGGGAAGGAUUUUUUCGCUCCUCAAAUCACUCUUCUGAGGCUUUAUAUCAAUCCCAAGCAAUUUGCCUGGCCAUUUCUAUGAUAAAAUAGGUGUUUUUAUCCAUUUAGAAGAGCAAUAAAACUAAGGAAAAUUCAGGCAGAACAUGCUCUUUCUUUAAAGCUUCAACUCAUAGUAAGAAUCUGGUUUGUGCUGUACUUCUCUCAUGAACUCAACUUUCCAUAGUGCAUUAAGUGUUGUAAUAAUGCAAAUCAAAUACAAAUUUUAAUAACUCCUUCCAUUAAAAUGAUCUAUUAAAGUUU